CCUACGGGGGGCAGCAGUGAGGAAUAUUGGUCAAUGGGCGUAAGCCUGAACCAGCCAAGUCGCGUGAGGGAUGAAGGUCCUAUGGAUCGUAAACCUCUUUUAUAAGGGAAUAAAGUGUGGGACGUGUCCUAUUUUGUAUGUACCUUAUGAAUAAGGAUCGGCUAACUCCGUGCCAGCAGCCGCGGUAAUACGGAGGAUCCGAGCGUUAUCCGGAUUUAUUGGGUUUAAAGGGUGCGUAGGCGGCCUGUUAAGUCAGCGGUGAAAGUCUGCGGCUCAACCGUAGAAUUGCCGUUGAAACUGGCAGUCUUGAGUAUGUUAGAGGCAGGCGGAAUGCGUGGUGUAGCGGUGAAAUGCUUAGAUAUCACGCAGAACCCCGAUUGCGAAGGCAGCCUGCCGGGCCAUGACUGACGCUGAGGCACGAAAGCGUGGGUAUCAAACAGGAUUAGAUACCCUAGUAGUC
RNAcentral lists this ribosomal RNA (460 nucleotides) under uncultured bacterium. Its description in RNAcentral is "partial 16S ribosomal RNA". It matches the Rfam family "Bacterial small subunit ribosomal RNA", at positions 338 to 795 of the family's 1533-position model. The record is from RNAcentral.